GGAUUAGCUCAAAUGGUAGAGCGC
This 24-nucleotide non-coding RNA is filed under the name Cricetulus griseus (Chinese hamster). RNAcentral also lists the same sequence under 1 other name. Lineage: Eukaryota; Metazoa; Chordata; Mammalia; Rodentia; Cricetidae. The record is from RNAcentral.